This 107-nucleotide ribosomal RNA is filed under the name Escherichia coli. RNAcentral also lists the same sequence under 2 other names. The record is from RNAcentral. Lineage: Bacteria; Pseudomonadati; Pseudomonadota; Gammaproteobacteria; Enterobacterales; Enterobacteriaceae.
UCUGGCGGCAGUAGCGCGGUGGUCCCACCUGACCCCAUGCCGAACUCAGAAGUGAAACGCCGUAGCGCCGAUGGUAGUGUGGGGUCUCCCCAUGCGAGAGUAGGGAA